UACGUAGGGUGCGAGCGUUAAUCGGAAUUACUGGGCGUAAAGCGUGCGCAGGCGGUUUUGUAAGCCAGAUGUGAAAUCCCCGGGCUUAACCUGGGAAUGGCAUUUGGGACUGCAAGGCUUGAGUGCGGCAGAGGAGACUGGAAUUCAUGGUGUAGCAGUGAAAUGCGUAGAGAUCAUGAGGAAGACCAGUGGCGAAGGCGGGUCUCUGGACAGUUCCUGACACUGAGGCACGAAGGCCAGGGGAGCAAACGGG
This 253-nucleotide ribosomal RNA is filed under the name uncultured bacterium. RNAcentral describes it as "partial 16S ribosomal RNA". It matches the Rfam family "Bacterial small subunit ribosomal RNA", at positions 524 to 776 of the family's 1533-position model. The record is from RNAcentral.